AAGAGGUGUGAUGAUUUCAUCCACCUAUACUGUUAGUGUUCAACGAUGAAUCAGAACAGGAACUACCAUCUGAUCUCUA
Molecule: small nucleolar RNA, 79 nt
Organism: Lycium barbarum (goji berry)
Lineage: Eukaryota; Viridiplantae; Streptophyta; Magnoliopsida; Solanales; Solanaceae
Source: RefSeq, a predicted model, not a curated record